GCUUACACAUGCAAGUCGAACGAUGAACCGGUUUCGGCCGGGGAUUAGUGGCGAACGGGUGAGUAACACGUGGGCAAUCUGCCCUGCACUCUGGGAUAAGCCCGGGAAACUGGGUCUAAUACCGGAUACGACACAUGAGCGCAUGCUCGUGUGUGGAAAGUUCCGGCGGUGCAGGAUGAGCCCGCGGCCUAUCAGUUUGUUGGUGGGGUAGUGGCCUACCAAGACGACGACGGGUAGCCGGCCUGAGAGGGUGACCGGCCACACUGGGACUGAGACACGGCCCAGACUCCUACGGGAGGCAGCAGUGGGGAAUAUUGCACAAUGGGCGAAAGCCUGAUGCAGCGACGCCGCGUGAGGGAUGACGGCCUUCGGGUUGUAAACCUCUUUCAGCAGGGAAGAAGCGAAAGUGACGGUACCUGCAGAAGAAGCACCGGCUAACUACGUGCCAGCAGCCGCGGUAAUACGUAGGGUGCAAGCGUUGUCCGGAAUUAUUGGGCGUAAAGAGCUCGUAGGCGGCCUGUCGCGUCGAUUGUGAAAGCCCAGGGCUUAACCCUGGGUCUGCAGUCGAUACGGGCAGGCUAGAGUUCGGUAGGGGAGAUCGGAAUUCCUGGUGUAGCGGUGAAAUGCGCAGAUAUCAGGAGGAACACCGGUGGCGAAGGCGGAUCUCUGGGCCGAUACUGACGCUGAGGAGCGAAAGCGUGGGGAGCGAACAGGAUUAGAUACCCUGGUAGUCCACGCCGUAAACGGUGG
Molecule: ribosomal RNA, 750 nt
Filed under: Streptomyces sp. I07A-00511
Lineage: Bacteria; Bacillati; Actinomycetota; Actinomycetes; Kitasatosporales; Streptomycetaceae
Description: bacterial SSU rRNA
Rfam family: Bacterial small subunit ribosomal RNA
Source: RNAcentral